GAUGAACGCUGGCGGUACGCCUUACACAUGCAAGUCGAACGGAAAUUAGCCUCGGUUAAUUUUAGUGGCGGACGGGUGAGUAACACGUGAGAAUUCGCCUUUAGGAGGGGGAUAACGGAUGGAAACAUUCGCUAAAACCCCAUAUGCCCCUGGGUGAAAACAGAGGAGAUAAGUAAUACUGACUCACCUCUGCCUGAAGAGAAGCUCGCGGCUGAUUAGCUAGUUGGUAGGGUAAAGGCCUACCAAGGCGACGAUCAGUAGCUGGUCUGAGAGGACGAUCAGCCACACUGGAACUGAGACACGGUCCAGACUCCUACGGAGGCAGCAGUGAGGAAUUUUCUGCAAUGGGCGAAAGCCUGACAGAGCAAUACCGCGUGAGGGAUGAAGACUUACUGAGUUGUAAAACCUCGGUAACCUUUAAAGGAAGAAGAUCUGACGGUACUUAAGGUGGAAAGCAUCGGCUAACUCCGUGCCAGC
This 477-nucleotide ribosomal RNA is filed under the name uncultured bacterium. RNAcentral describes it as "bacterial SSU rRNA". It matches the Rfam family "Bacterial small subunit ribosomal RNA", at positions 28 to 512 of the family's 1533-position model. The record is from RNAcentral.